Molecule: ribosomal RNA, 252 nt
Filed under: uncultured bacterium
Lineage: Bacteria
Description: partial 16S ribosomal RNA
Rfam family: Bacterial small subunit ribosomal RNA
Source: RNAcentral
ACGAAGGGGGCUAGCGUUGUUCGGAAUUACUGGGCGUAAAGCGCACGUAGGCGGAUAUUUAAGUCAGGGGUGAAAUCCCAGAGCUCAACUCUGGAACUGCCUUUGAUACUGGGUAUCUUGAGUAUGGAAGAGGUAAGUGGAAUUGCGAGUGUAGAGGUGAAAUUCGUAGAUAUUCGCAGGAACACCAGUGGCGAAGGCGGCUUACUGGUCCAUUACUGACGCUGAGGUGCGAAAGCGUGGGGAGCAAACAGG